UCUAGGGAUUCAUCUUCUUUAAGCCAACGCGUCCGUCCCCUUCAAUUUCUCACCCUCGUAAGCACUGCGACGCCACUCCUCCGCCGUAUCUUCCGCCGCUGCCGUUCCUGCUCCGCACUGUACCUCCACAAUUCCUAGUAUUCAACACAACGUGUAGAUUUUUCUUACGCCAUUUUCUAAUGGCGUCGUCGAUGAAAUUCACUGAUUGCUCCCCUUCCACUACUGUUCGUCUUUUUCCCUCUGCUCGAACCAGGCUUCCGAGCUUCGAUGGCGCUGUUCUCUUUCACCGCCUUCUUGACCGUUCGCGCCCUGCCUUCCCUAGAACUUUCGUUUCUCGCUCUUCGGCUUCAACUUUGCCUGUCAUCUCUGCUUCAAUUUCAACCGAAGCAACUGCAGAAGUGAUUGAUGGAAAAUUGGUGGCAAAGCAGAUCAGAGAAGAGAUUACUGCUGAAGUAUCUCGAAUGAAGGAUGCCAUUGGUGUUGUUCCAGGCUUAGCAGUCAUCCUUGUAGGAGAUAGGAAGGAUUCUGCAACUUAUGUACGAAAUAAGAAAAAAGCUUGUGAAUCUGUGGGUAUUAAAUCUUUUGAAGUAAACUUACCCGAAGAUUGCACCGAGCAAGAAGUACUCAAGUAUAUAUCUGACUUCAAUGAUGAUCCAUCCGUCCAUGGAAUUCUUGUUCAGUUACCUCUACCUAAACACAUGAACGAACAGAAUAUAUUGCAUGCUGUUAGUAUUGAAAAAGAUGUAGAUGGAUUUCACCCACUAAACAUCGGUCGUCUUGCAAUGAGAGGUGAAGAACCAUUGUUUGUUCCAUGUACGCCAAAAGGGUGUAUUGAAUUGCUGCAUAGGUAUAACAUUGGUAUCAAAGGGAAGAGAGCCGUUGUAAUUGGGCGAAGCAAUAUUGUAGGAACUCCAGCUGCUCUUUUGCUUCAAGGAGAAGAUGCAACGGUCAGCGUCGUUCAUUCUAGAACCAAGGACCCUGAAGAGUUAACAAGACAAGCUGAUAUUAUCAUAUCUGCAGUUGGCAAAGCCAAUAUGGUCAAGGGCAGUUGGAUAAAGCCCGGAGCAGUUAUUAUUGACGUCGGAAUCAAUCCAGUAGAGGAUGCAAGUAGUCCUCGUGGAUAUCGGCUAGUUGGAGAUGUUUGUUAUGAGGAGGCCAGCAAAAUUGCUUCAGCCAUAACUCCGGUACCUGGGGGAGUUGGACCAAUGACUAUAGCAAUGCUGCUUUCAAACACACUUACAGCAGCCAAAAGAACACAUAACUUCCAGUAAAAUGUUGGAAGCUUAUUAUAAUUUCAUGGAAAGCUUCCGUUUAGGAAGGACGAAGCGGUAGAAUAAUAACCCCCCAUCUUGAUGGAAAUAAAAUUUGCAGCUAUAUGUGAAAGGUAAAUGGGCAGAAUGGUGACCACACUUAAAAGAACUUCUCUAUUCUUCCAAGGGAUGGAUUUUGUAACUUAAAGGACUUUUGGCUCUUAAACAAGUUGACAUGAUCACGGAAUCAGACAGUCUUAAUAAAUACCUUGGGUCGAUCCAUAGAGCUUGCAAAGUAGCCCAUUCCAAACGAAAGGGAAGAAUAAGCAGCAGCAAUCUCCACAGCUUUCAACUUCUGUUGAUUUCCUGGGGCCUGUGGCAACAACACUUAGAUACAUAAUCAUUGUUAAAUGAAAUGACAAGAAGUGUGUUCAUUCAGUAGGUCACCAAUUUAGAAGCAUCGGCCUGGACAAGUAAAAUCCCAGCACUCUUAUCUGCAUUAUGUUGACUGCUUUCUUGAACAAAAUUGCGUAGAACUUUCAUGCAAGCAGAGGCGGGACCUGCCUGUGAUCUGAGUGAAGCGUAUAUAGCAAUGUCAAACAAAAAUAACAGACUUUACAAGGUUAACUAGUCAGCACAUAUUUAAAAUGUUUCAUGUGGAAACAGUAAGACCCUAAUAAAAAAAAAAAGGCAACGAACGGAAUGAUAUUCAGAUGGACAUUUUAUCUUAUCAACCAUAUAUUUUUCUCAUUAAA
Molecule: RNA transcript, 2005 nt
Organism: Cucumis sativus (cucumber)
Lineage: Eukaryota; Viridiplantae; Streptophyta; Magnoliopsida; Cucurbitales; Cucurbitaceae
Gene name: bifunctional protein FolD 4, chloroplastic
Exons: 7
Source: RefSeq, a predicted model, not a curated record